RNAcentral lists this long non-coding RNA (1657 nucleotides) under Meleagris gallopavo (turkey). Its description in RNAcentral is "lncRNA (ENSMGAG00000019937.1)". Lineage: Eukaryota; Metazoa; Chordata; Aves; Galliformes; Phasianidae. The record is from RNAcentral.
GGAGUUUCUGGUCAUUUAUCUCUGGUUAUUCUAUUUACUGAAGAUCAGACCUCCAACUGGUGCAUUUCGGGCAUUUGGGAUUUCAUUUUGUCUCGCCACUGCUGAAAACUUUACUAUGCUUUUGCAUUAACACAACACUCAUGUUACUUUUGCAUCUCUCUCAAAGAAUAGAAGAAAUGGCCUUAAGCAAAUGUAACAGUGGCCUCUCUAUUCGAGGAUCUGUGAUGAUGGGAGUGAACAAGCUUGCCUUUUCCCCAAGUGUCCUUAGAAGUCAAGAUCCUGUGACCUGGAAAGAAGACAUCAGGACUGGAUCUCCAGUGAUCAUUUCUGUGUUUUAUCUCAGUUACAGACCAUCUUCAGCUCUACAGUCAGCUCCAUCCACACACAGAACACUGGAGCUUCUUGUUUUGUAAUGAGCUGACCCUGCAAACAUUGAUGGGAAUUAUAUUUUAUCUAUAGUUUGGUUGUUAUCUGUUUGAAAAGUGAGUAAUGGAAUAUUGGUGGGAAUGUUCAACUUCUACUGCCUUACCAGCACCAUCUACCUCUGAUGUCGUGGGCCACCAUAAUAAAUAGGAGGCACUGAUUUCAGAGUAGCCCUUGUCCGCCACAUAAGUUGUGUUUGUUCCUUCUCCAACCCAUUUUAUUUUAUCCUUUGAAAAGUGAGAUGCAUGAGUCUUACAGAACUCGGUUUCCUUUUCAGUAUUUGCCUUAUUCGUGGUAGUAAUAACAACUGGCACCUUUAGGGGAAUUUAUUCAGUAUUCUAGAAGAUUACUGUAAAUAUUAAUGGCAGGUACACAUUGUACUCUCUUGGCAGCCCAAUAGGCCCAGUAACAUGAAGUUCAGAAACUGCAGGCAUUGUGCUCUGUUGUCUGCAGUAGUUUUCCCAUAGGCCUUUUUCCGUCUCUUGUUUCUAAAAACAACUUGCAACUGUUUCUGAUAGUAAAAUUAAAAAUAAAAUUAAAAAAAAAAAAAGUGAGAGACGAAGCUGAUGCAGUGAAGUCUAUUAAGAAAUGGGACUUAUGUAUCUUUUGAUGUUUUCACCUUUACUCUUUUCACAAGGCUGAAAUUAGAAAGGAAUCAAUAUAAUUUAGUAUAACUGAGGCUUGGUUUUAGAUCUUUACUUAACUUUACCUAGCUUUCUUGGAGAACUGUAUAGUUCCUGGCUUCAUGGAGGAAGAUAGCUGCUGAAAAACAACUGUUUUAAAAGAGAAAAGGCAAAAGCCUGUGUAGUUCUGUCUGUGUAUCCAGUCUCCUUUAAAUUUUCAGUCCUGUGGGUAAUACAUUAUCAGACUGAUUCCAGUUUCCUGUUUAUACAGUGUCUGGCUUUGAUGCGAAUACAACAGAUUAAGAAGCAGGAACGGAGUUCCUGUUUUAGUAAUUUCUCAUUGAGAUGUAUAUAAGCCCAAUGACACUCUGCUUGACAAUUAUUAAAAACAUCAGACCAGCAAGCACGUACAUUUCAUCAGUACCAAAGAUUUAAAGACAUACCACCUGAGCAGCAGCCCCACAGCUUCAUCUUUGAUCCAAGCUACAGAUUAGGAAGAAAUUCUGCAUGUAGUCUUAUAUGUGUUUUAAACUAAAAAGAUCAGUCUGGGAGGGCAUGAUAUUUUUGUACGAGUAAAUAAUUCUUGCAGUAAAGUAAAUCCUAAAGUUUCU